Molecule: ribosomal RNA, 468 nt
Filed under: uncultured bacterium
Lineage: Bacteria
Description: partial 16S ribosomal RNA
Rfam family: Bacterial small subunit ribosomal RNA
Source: RNAcentral
GACGAACGCUGGCGGCGUGCUUAACACAUGCAAGUCGAACGGAAAGGCCCUGCUUUUGUGGGGUGCUCGAGUGGCGAACGGGUGAGUAACACGUGAGUAACCUGCCCUUGACUUUGGGAUAACUUCAGGAAACUGGGGCUAAUACCGGAUAGGAGCUCCUGCUGCAUGGUGGGGGUUGGAAGGUUUCGGCGGUUGGGGAUGGACUCGCGGCUUAUCAGCUUGUUGGUGGGGUAGUGGCUUACCAAGGCUUUGACGGGUAGCCGGCCUGAGAGGGUGACCGGCCACAUUGGGCCUGAGAUCCGGCCCAGACUCCUACGGUAGGCAGCAGUGGAAAAUAUUGCACAAUGGGCGGAAGCCUGAUGCAGCGACGCCGCGUCCGGGAUGACGUCCUUCGGGUUAUAAACCGCUUUCGCCUGUGACGAAGCGUGUGUGACAGUAAUGGGUAAAGAAGCACCGGCUAACUACGUG